Molecule: ribosomal RNA, 492 nt
Filed under: uncultured bacterium
Lineage: Bacteria
Description: partial 16S ribosomal RNA
Rfam family: Bacterial small subunit ribosomal RNA
Source: RNAcentral
AGUGAACGCUGGCGGUAGGCCUAACACAUGCAAGUCGAACGGCAGCACAGUAAGAGCUUGCUCUUACGGGUGGCGAGUGGCGGACGGGUGAGGGAUACAUCGGAAUCUACUUUUUCGUGGGGGAUAACGUAGGGAAACUUACGCUAAUACCGCAUACGACCUACGGGUGAAAGCAGGGGAUCUUCGGACCUUGCGCGAUUGAAUGAGCCGAUGUCGGAUUAGCUAGUUGGCGGGGUAAAGGCCCACCAAGGCGACGAUCCGUAGCUGGUCUGAGAGGAUGAUCAGCCACACUGGAACUGAGACACGGUCCAGACUCCUACGGGAGGCAGCAGUGGGGAAUAUUGGACAAUGGGCGCAAGCCUGAUCCAGCCAUACCGCGUGGGUGAAGAAGGCCUUCGGGUUGUAAAGCCCUUUUGUUGGGAAAGAAAAGCAGCAGGUUAAUACCCCGCUGUUCUGACGGUACCAAAAGAAUAAGCACCGGCUAACUUCGUG